RNAcentral lists this ribosomal RNA (433 nucleotides) under uncultured bacterium. Its description in RNAcentral is "partial 16S ribosomal RNA". It matches the Rfam family "Bacterial small subunit ribosomal RNA", at positions 29 to 507 of the family's 1533-position model. The record is from RNAcentral.
AACGAACGCUGGCGGCAUGCCUAACACAUGCAAGUCGAACGAGACCUUCGGGUCUAGUGGCGAACGGGUGCGUAACGCGUGGGAACCUGCCCUUAGGUUCGGAAUAACUCCCCGAAAGGGGUGCUAAUACCGGAUAAUGUCUUCGGACCAAAGAUUUAUCGCCUUUGGAUGGGCCCGCGUUGGAUUAGCUAGUUGGUAGGGUAAAAGCCUACCAAGGCGACGAUCCAUAGCUGGUCUGAGAGGAUGAUCAGGCACACUGGGACUGAGACACGGCCCAGACUCCUACGGGAGGCAGCAGUGGGGAAUAUUGGACAAUGGGCGAAAGCCUGAUCCAGCAAUGCCGCGUGAGUGAUGAAGGCCUUAGGGUUGUAAAGCUCUUUUACCCGGGAUGAUAAUGACAGUACCGGGAGAAUAAGCUCCGGCUAACUCCGUG